Non-coding RNA from Lojkania enalia, 96 nucleotides. Lineage: Eukaryota; Fungi; Ascomycota; Dothideomycetes; Pleosporales. The record is from the annotation of a GenBank genome assembly.
GGAAGGAUGGCCGAGCGGUUAAGGCGUUGUGUUUAGGCUUACUAAGCUUAAAUCCCGCAAUGGGAAACCUCGUGGGUUCGAAUCCCACUCCUUUCA